GUCUAGUAUAAGCAUUAUACAGCGAAACUGCGAAUGGCUCAUUAUAUAAGUUAUCGUUUAUUUGAUAGUACCUUACUACUUGGAUAACCGUGGUAAUUCUAGAGCUAAUACAUGCUAAAAAUCCCGACUUCGGAAGGGAUGUAUUUAUUAGAUUAAAAACCAAUGCCCUCUGGGCUCCUUGGUGAUUCAUAAUAACUUUUCGAAUCGCAUGGCCUUGCGCCGGCGAUGGUUCAUUCAAAUUUCUUCCCUAUCAACUUUCGAUGUUUGGGUAUUGGCCAAACAUGGUCGCAACGGGUAACGGAGGGUUAGGGCUCGACCCCGGAGAAGGAGCCUGAGAAACGGCUACUACAUCCAAGGAAGGCAGCAGGCGCGCAAAUUACCCAAUCCCGAUUCGGGGAGGUAGUGACAAUAAAUACUGAUACAGGGCUCUUUUGGGUCUUGUAAUUGGAAUGAGUACAAUUUAAAUCCCUUAACGAGGAACAAUUGGAGGGCAAGUCUGGUGCCAGCAGCCGCGGUAAUUCCAGCUCCAAUAGCGUAUAUUAAAGUUGUUGUGGUUAAAAAGCUCGUAGUUGAACCUUGGGCCUGGCUGGCCGGUCCGCCUCACCGCGUGUACUGGUCCGGCCGGGCCUUUCCCUCUGUGGAACCUCAUGCCCUUCACUGGGUGUGGCGGGGAAACAGGACUUUUACUUUGAAAAAAUUAGAGUGCUCCAGGCAGGCCUAUGCUCGAAUACAUUAGCAUGGAAUAAUGAAAUAGGACGUGUGGUUCUAUUUUGUUGGUUUCUAGGACCGCCGUAAUGAUUAAUAGGGACAGUCGGGGGCAUCAGUAUUCAAUUGUCAGAGGUGAAAUUCUUGGAUUUAUUGAAGACUAACUACUGCGAAAGCAUUUGCCAAGGAUGUUUUCAUUAAUCAGGAACGAAAGUUAGGGGAUCGAAGACGAUCAGAUACCGUCGUAGUCUUAACCAUAAACUAUGCCGACUAGGGAUCGGACGAUGUUAUUUUUUGACGCGUUCGGCACCUUACGAGAAAUCAAAG
This 1032-nucleotide ribosomal RNA is filed under the name Akanthomyces sp. RNAcentral's name for it is "SSU rRNA". It matches the Rfam family "Eukaryotic small subunit ribosomal RNA", at positions 57 to 1103 of the family's 1831-position model. Lineage: Eukaryota; Fungi; Ascomycota; Sordariomycetes; Hypocreales; Cordycipitaceae. The record is from RNAcentral.